This 60-nucleotide transfer RNA is filed under the name Oomorphoides metallicus. RNAcentral's name for it is "tRNA-His". Lineage: Eukaryota; Metazoa; Arthropoda; Insecta; Coleoptera; Chrysomelidae. The record is from RNAcentral.
AUUCUGAUAGUUUAUUAAAAUAUUGAUUUGUGGGGUCAAAGUAGUCAAUUAUGACUUAGA